CCAUAUGUUCUUUUAAAACUAGCAUGAGUACAUGUAAUCAUUUAUCAUUUUCUUUUGUUCUUUUGUUUAUGGUACAAGAUGUAAUCGAUCAAAGGGGGGGGUCAGUAGUAUGGGUUAAGGAUAUAGUUAAUUAAAAGAUCUGGUAGUUAAUGAAUUGUAAAUGAUGAAUUGUAGCACCU
This is a non-coding RNA of Chelonoidis abingdonii (Abingdon island giant tortoise), 179 nucleotides long. NCBI's taxonomy places the organism in Eukaryota, Metazoa, Chordata, Testudines, Testudinidae. The record is from RefSeq and is a predicted model, not a curated record.